RNAcentral lists this ribosomal RNA (402 nucleotides) under uncultured bacterium. RNAcentral's name for it is "bacterial SSU rRNA". It matches the Rfam family "Bacterial small subunit ribosomal RNA", at positions 355 to 774 of the family's 1533-position model. The record is from RNAcentral.
UCGGGAAUUUUGGGCAAUGGGCGAAAGCCUGACCCAGCAACGCCGCGUGAGGGAUGAAGUAUUUCGGUAUGUAAACCUCGAAAGAAUGGGAAGAAUAAAUGACGGUACCAUUUAUAAGCUCCGGCUAACUACGUGCCAGCAGCCGCGGUAAUACGUAGGGAGCAAGCGUUGUUCGGAUUUACUGGGCGUAAAGGGCGCGUAGGCGGCGCGGUAAGUCACCUGUGAAAUCUCUGAGCUUAACUCAGAACGGCCAAGUGAUACUGCUGCGCUAGAGUGCGGAAGAGGCAACCGGAAUUCUUGGUGUAGCGGUGAAAUGCGUAGAUAUCAAGAGGAACACCUGAGGCGAAGGCGGGUUGCUGGGCCGACACUGACGCUGAUGCGCGAAAGCCAGGGGAGCAAACG